ACAUGCAAGUCGAGCGAACAGAAGGGAGCUUGCUCCCGGAUGUUAGCGGCGGACGGGUGAGUAACACGUGGGUAACCUGCCUGUAAGACUGGGAUAACUCCGGGAAACCGGAGCUAAUACCGGAUAGUUCCUUGAACCGCAUGGUUCAAGGAUGAAGACGGUUUCGGCUGUCACUUACAGAUGGACCCGCGGCGCAUUAGCUAGUUGGUGGGGUAAUGGCUCACCAAGGCGACGAUGCGUAGCCGACCUGAGAGGGUGAUCGGCCACACUGGGACUGAGACACGGCCCANACUCCUACGGGAGGCAGCAGUAGGGAAUCUUCCGCAAUGGACGAAAGUCUGACGGAGCAACGCCGCGUGAGUGAUGAAGGUUUUCGGAUCGUAAAGCUCUGUUGUUAGGGAAUGAACAANUGCGA
RNAcentral lists this ribosomal RNA (415 nucleotides) under Bacillus sp. INY4. RNAcentral describes it as "bacterial SSU rRNA". It matches the Rfam family "Bacterial small subunit ribosomal RNA", at positions 53 to 459 of the family's 1533-position model. The record is from RNAcentral. Lineage: Bacteria; Bacillati; Bacillota; Bacilli; Caryophanales; Bacillaceae.